RNAcentral lists this ribosomal RNA (253 nucleotides) under uncultured bacterium. RNAcentral's name for it is "partial 16S ribosomal RNA". It matches the Rfam family "Bacterial small subunit ribosomal RNA", at positions 524 to 776 of the family's 1533-position model. The record is from RNAcentral.
UACGUAGGGUGCAAGCGUUGUCCGGAAUUAUUGGGCGUAAAGAGCUCGUAGGCGGCCUGUCGCGUCGGCUGUGAAAACCCGAGGCUCAACCUCGGGCCUGCAGUCGAUACGGGCAGGCUAGAGUUCGGUAGGGGAGACUGGAAUUCCUGGUGUAGCGGUGAAAUGCGCAGAUAUCAGGAGGAACACCGGUGGCGAAGGCGGGUCUCUGGGCCGAAACUGACGCUGAGGAGCGAAAGCGUGGGGAGCGAACAGG